AACGCCCGGGGCUUCGGCCUGGUUAUUCAUAACCCUUUGUUGUCCGACUCUGUUGCCUCCGGGGCGACCCUGCCUUCGGGCGGGGGCUCCGGGUGGACACUUCAAACUCUUGCGUAACUUUGCAGUCUGAGUAAACUUAAUUAAUAAAUUAAAACUUUUAACAACGGAUCUCUUGGUUCUGGCAUCGAUGAAGAACGCAGCGAAAUGCGAUAAGUAAUGUGAAUUGCAGAAUUCAGUGAAUCAUCGAAUCUUUGAACGCACAUUGCGCCCCCUGGUAUUCCGGGGGGCAUGCCUGUUCGAGCGUCAUUUCACCACUCAAGCCUCGCUUGGUAUUGGGCAACGCGGUCCGCCGCGUGCCUCAAAUCGUCCGGCUGGGUCUUCUGUCCCCUAAGCGUUGUGGAAACUAUUCGCUAAAGGGUGUUCGGGAGGCUACGCCGUAAAACAACCCCAUUUCUAAGGUUGACCUCGGAUCAGGUAGGGAUACCCGCUGAACUUAAGCAUAUCAAUAAGCGGAGGAA
This 518-nucleotide ribosomal RNA is filed under the name uncultured fungus. RNAcentral describes it as "eukaryotic LSU rRNA". The stretch from base 153 to 306 matches the Rfam family "5.8S ribosomal RNA". The record is from RNAcentral. Lineage: Eukaryota; Fungi.